This 227-nucleotide long non-coding RNA is filed under the name Parus major (Great Tit). Its description in RNAcentral is "lncRNA (ENSPMJG00000015816.1)". Lineage: Eukaryota; Metazoa; Chordata; Aves; Passeriformes; Paridae. The record is from RNAcentral.
CCGUCAAACUGCUGUGAAAAUCUGCCAUCUGUAGAGAGUUUUGAAAGUAGAGCUGUGGACAUGACAUUGUUGAUGUUCAAGGAUUUCAGAGGGAAAGUGCCAGCAUGAAAAGGUAUAAAAUCAUAAAGGUGUAUCCUGAGUGCCCUACACAAAUAAGGUUCGAGCUUUCUGAAGGCAUUUCCAUUGUGGUUGUGCUUUCGACUCCUGAAAUGGCUUGUGGAAGUUAA